Molecule: ribosomal RNA, 253 nt
Filed under: uncultured bacterium
Lineage: Bacteria
Description: partial 16S ribosomal RNA
Rfam family: Bacterial small subunit ribosomal RNA
Source: RNAcentral
GACAGGGGGUGCAAGCGUUGCUCGGAAUCAUUGGGCGUAAAGCGCACGUAGGCGGUCUCGUAAGUCGGGUGUGAAAGCCCUCAGCCUAACUGAGGAACUGCGCCCGAUACUGCAAGGCUAGAGGAUGGGAGGGGAGAGUGGAAUUCCUGGUGGGGCGGUGAAAUGCGUAGAUAUCAGGAGGAAUACCAGUGGCGAAGGCGACUCUCUGGUCCAUUCCUGACGCUGAGGUGCGAGAGCUAGGGGAGCAAACGGG